RNAcentral lists this transfer RNA (91 nucleotides) under Rhizoctonia solani AG-1 IB. It matches the Rfam family "tRNA". From Rfam's summary of the family: Transfer RNA (tRNA) molecules are approximately 80 nucleotides in length. Their secondary structure includes four short double-helical elements and three loops (D, anti-codon, and T loops). Further hydrogen bonds mediate the characteristic L-shaped molecular structure. tRNAs have two regions of fundamental functional importance: the anti-codon, which is responsible for specific mRNA codon recognition, and the 3' end, to which the tRNAs corresponding amino acid is attached (by aminoacyl-tRNA synthetases). tRNAs cope with the degeneracy of the genetic code in two manners: having more than one tRNA (with a specific anti-codon) for a particular amino acid; and 'wobble' base-pairing, i.e. permitting non-standard base-pairing at the 3rd anti-codon position. Lineage: Eukaryota; Fungi; Basidiomycota; Agaricomycetes; Cantharellales; Ceratobasidiaceae. The record is from Rfam by way of RNAcentral.
GGGCAUGUAGCGCAGUUGGUAGCGCGCUCGCUUAGCAAACCACAAACCGGAUGACUGCGAGAGGUCCUCGAUUCGAAUUCGGGCUUGUCCA